This 239-nucleotide ribosomal RNA is filed under the name uncultured bacterium. Its description in RNAcentral is "partial 16S ribosomal RNA". It matches the Rfam family "Bacterial small subunit ribosomal RNA", at positions 524 to 762 of the family's 1533-position model. The record is from RNAcentral.
CACGUAGGGCGCGAGCGUUGUCCGGAAUUAUUGGGCGUAAAGAGCUCGUAGGCGGCCUGUUGCGUCCGCUGUGAAAGCCCGGGGCUUAACCCCGGGUCGGCAGUGGAUACGGGCAGGCUAGAGGUAGGUAGGGGAGAAUGGAAUUCCCGGUGUAGCGGUGAAAUGCGCAGAUAUCGGGAGGAACACCGGUGGCGAAGGCGGUUCUCUGGGCCUUACCUGACGCUGAGGAGCGAAAGCGU